AUCUGAAACAGGCUCCAGGCUCUGAGCUGUCAUCACAGAGCCCAAGGCAGGGCUUGAACCCACGAACUGUGAGAUCAUGACCUGAGCCGAAGUCGGAUGCUGAAUCAACUGAGCUACCCAGGCGCCCCUCAGCAACUCAGUAUUAAGAAUUGCAGAUUUCUUUUGUAGGGUCAUUGGACCUCUAUGCCUGAAACAGACUGGAAGAAACAAAGGGGAGAGAGGCUGCUUUAGUCACAGUUCCUGCUUGAUAACGGUGACUUUCCAGUUUUCCCUGUUGUGAUCAACGGUACAGGUGAAGAGAAAGUCCAUGCUUUCCUUGACUAGGAGUCUCCUUCUGCUUC
Molecule: long non-coding RNA, 341 nt
Filed under: Felis catus (domestic cat)
Lineage: Eukaryota; Metazoa; Chordata; Mammalia; Carnivora; Felidae
Description: lncRNA (ENSFCAG00000048381.1)
Source: RNAcentral